Molecule: ribosomal RNA, 397 nt
Filed under: uncultured bacterium
Lineage: Bacteria
Description: partial 16S ribosomal RNA
Rfam family: Bacterial small subunit ribosomal RNA
Source: RNAcentral
AUACGUAUGGGGCGAGCGUUGUCCGGAAUGAUUGGGCGUAAAGCGCGCGUAGGCGGCUUUUCAAGUCAGAAGUGGAAGUCCUUUGUUCAAGGGUGGAAGUGCUACAGAAACUGCGUAGCUUGAGUGCAGUAGAGGUUAGCGGAAUUCCCGGUGUAGCGGUGAAAUGCGUAGAGAUAGGGAGGAACACCAGUGGCGAAGGCGGGUAACUGGACUGCAACUGACGCUGAGGCGCGAAAGUGUGGGGAGCAAACAGGAUUAGAUACCCUGGUAGUCCACACUGUAAACGAUGAAUGCUAGGUGUAGGAGGUAUCGACCCCUUAUGUGCCGCAGUAAACACAGUAAGCAUUCCGCCUGGGGAGUACGGUCGCAAGAUUAAAACUCAAAGGAAUUGACGGGG